GCCGCCAUCGUCUAGCCUGGCUUAGGACGCCGCCCUCUCAAGGCGGAGAUCAGGGGUUCAAAUCCCCUUGGCGGCA
RNAcentral lists this transfer RNA (76 nucleotides) under Elusimicrobia bacterium RIFCSPLOWO2_01_FULL_54_10. Its description in RNAcentral is "tRNA-Glu". It matches the Rfam family "tRNA". Rfam says of the family: Transfer RNA (tRNA) molecules are approximately 80 nucleotides in length. Their secondary structure includes four short double-helical elements and three loops (D, anti-codon, and T loops). The record is from RNAcentral. Lineage: Bacteria; Pseudomonadati; Elusimicrobiota.